UCAUGUAACACGUAGUCAACAUGCCCAGGGGACGUGGAUAACCUCGGGAAACUGAGGAUAAACCGCGAUAGGUCACUACUUCUGGAAUGGGUAAUGACCCAAACCUAUAUGGCCCCUGGAUUGGACUGCGGCCGAUCAGGCUGUUGGUGAGGUAAUGGCCCACCAAACCUGUAACCGGUACGGGCUCUGAGAGGAGGAGCCCGGAGAUGGGCACUGAGACAAGGGCCCAGGCCCUAUGGGGCGCAGCAGGCGCGAAACCUCUGCAAUAGGCGAAAGCUUGACAGGGUUACUCUGAGUGAUUUCCGUUAAGGAGAUCUUUUGGCACCUCUAAAAAUGGUGCAGAAUAAGGGGUGGGCAAGUCUGGUG
Molecule: ribosomal RNA, 366 nt
Filed under: unidentified archaeon
Lineage: Archaea
Description: bacterial SSU rRNA
Rfam family: Archaeal small subunit ribosomal RNA
Source: RNAcentral